AUGACAAAAGGAGCAGAUAUCGCUCACAUGAUGCCGUCACAACACCUUCUGCACGUUUCCUUGAAAUUUGUACUUGUACAGUGUCCAUGUGUUGUGCAGAUAGUCAAGGAAACCCUGAACAGCCUUUCUGUUGACAACUUCAAAAGGAUCCUGAAAGAGAAGAGGGUGCUGAAUCACACAACAGACAACUGCUUGACUGCUGUAGGCAAGAUGGUGCAAGACAGCAACCUGGUUUGUGUUCCACCUUCAGACAUACAGCAUUUCCUCACUCCUUACUCCAUCCUGAAGAAGCAGGAGAGUCACCUGUGGUUCUGCAGGCUCUUGAAGGUGAUGUUCGGUCUGACCGUCUGUGCCAUCUUCUUCUACAUGCUGCGCAGGAAACCAAGGAGAAGAGUUAGGAAGUUCAGUCAUGUACAGGAGCUGUUCAGAAUAAUGCAGUCUGUCAGAGUUCAAACCAGACUCAUUUCUAAAGAUAUGGAUUAGAAGUUGCUGGUUAAGAAGUGUUUGGGGUUAUUUUCUGUGCUUUAAUCUUUAUUAAAUGGGACUUUCUAAAUUGCUAAAUUGCUAAAAUAUUGCUUUGAUAUCAGAUAUGCAUAUUUUACAAACAAUAUUAUAAAACGUGUAAAUGAUUAAAGAGCAUGCACAUUUCUCUAGUUUUCAUUAAAUGCACAUGUAACAAUAGAGUACUACUGUAUCUGACCAAUAGAUGGUGCUAAAUACCUGUCUAGCCUCGUUCAACCUUAGAGGUUCACUAUGGGUUGGUUAGUAUUGAGAUAACCAUCGACAUAAUGAUUUUAAACCAUUAAAACCAGAAGUCUUCAAGACCUCUCUAGCUUAAAUAAUAACUACAGAUAAAAUCAUAUAAACCACUAAUAAGACGCAAAUUAUUUAUGUCUAGAUUGUAACAUUCUAUAGACUUACAUCAUUCAAGUAUCUACUGUAUAAAUCAUGUUAUAAGUCUACAAGAAUAUUACUAUGAAUAUGACUUAAUGAAUUAAGAUUAACAUUAUAUAAUGGUAGGUGAUGUUCUUAAUAAAAGCAUUACAGAAGAAAUCUAGCUUUAUAUU
Cyprinus carpio (common carp) is the source of this 1067-nucleotide long non-coding RNA. NCBI's taxonomy places the organism in Eukaryota, Metazoa, Chordata, Actinopteri, Cypriniformes, Cyprinidae. The record is from Ensembl.